GGGAAGUCGGGGGCAGCGGCCGGGGUAAUACGGAGGGGGGGAGGGGUGUCCGGAGUGACUGGGCGGAAAGCGCGUGUAGGCGGGUUGCCAAGUCCGCGGUGAAAGACCGAGGCUCAAGCGCGGAGGGUCGGUGGAUACUGGCAGGCUUGAAGUGGCUAGGGGGAGAUGGAAUUACCGGUGUAGCGGUGAAAUGCGUAGAGAUCGGUAGGAACACCAGUGGCGAAGGCGGUCUCCUGGAGCUAACUUGACGCUGAGACGCGAAAGCUGGGGGAGCGAACGGGAUUAGAUACCCCAGUAGUC
This 300-nucleotide ribosomal RNA is filed under the name uncultured Ignicoccus sp. RNAcentral's name for it is "bacterial SSU rRNA". It matches the Rfam family "Bacterial small subunit ribosomal RNA", at positions 496 to 795 of the family's 1533-position model. Lineage: Archaea; Thermoproteati; Thermoproteota; Thermoprotei; Desulfurococcales; Desulfurococcaceae. The record is from RNAcentral.